UACGUAGGGUGCAAGCGUUGUCCGGAAUUAUUGGGCGUAAAGAGCUCGUAGGCGGUUUGUCGCGUCUGCUGUGAAAGUUCGGGGCUCAACCCCGGAUCUGCAGUGGGUACGGGCAGACUAGAGUGCGGUAGAGGAGACUUGAAUUCCUGGUGUAGCGGUGGAAUGCGCUGAUAUCAGGAGGAACACCAGUGGCGAAGGUGGGUCUAUGGGCCGCAACUGAUACUGAGGAGCGAAAGCGUGGGGAGCGAUCAUG
This 253-nucleotide ribosomal RNA is filed under the name uncultured bacterium. RNAcentral describes it as "partial 16S ribosomal RNA". It matches the Rfam family "Bacterial small subunit ribosomal RNA", at positions 524 to 776 of the family's 1533-position model. The record is from RNAcentral.